CAGCUCGGAGCCUGGUUCCUACUUCAGAUUCUGUGUCUCCCUCGCUCUCUGCCCCUCCUCCCCCUCUCUCAAGAUAAACAUUAAAAAAAAUUUUUUUAAAGAAAACCAAGUUUCAAAGAAAUGAGGUUGUUUGACCAAAGGCAUAUUAUUAGCUUAUGACUGACAAUAGAACAAAUGACAGAACUAUUGACCGAAAUAAAACUAAAAAUCAGUCUCUUGAGCACCAAGGUAAUACUUUUCCUGCUGCCCUGAAGCCCCUGCACCACCUCUGUAAGGACGUCUGCUUGUUUACACUGUAACUUAUUGGUGGCUCUAGCUCUUAUCUGCAAAAUGUGGGAAAUUAUCCUUGGCCCUAAGAAAAACUCUUAAGUUUUCUGUGAACUGAUUCAAUUUUGGUAAGCCAUGUACUCUUUGCAAGUACAUAUUUUACUUGUAUUCUGGUAUUUCUAAUACUUACUAGAUGAAAUCUGAAAAUUGGUACACAAGAAUGACCAUAAAAAAAAUUACUGUUUUCAGGAUAGAAGAAAUACCUCAGAAAUUGUAAGAAAAAAGAUGGUAAAUAAUAUAUAUGAAAAUAAACCUUUUCAAUCAUUGGAGUGGUCCAAAAGGAAACAUUCACUAAGGAGAUGAGUUCCCUUUCAAUGAAGAAGUUUAAGCAGAAGCUGAAAUACUGCUUGUCAAUAUGUUGUAUUCCAAAGUCAUAAACUAUAUGACAUUUUCAUGAGGUGAUCUGUAAAGUUUCUUCAAAUUCUGAAUUUCUAUCUUGACACAUAUAUUGAGUUGUCAGUAGACACUUCUCAUGACUAUCAACUAAAACUUCCAGAAGGCAUGUAUCACUAUUUGCUGCACUGGUUUUGGUAUUUUAUCAAUUUUGUUUUCACAUCUCUUUUAGUUUGAAAGAAUUUAAAAAUAAUUUUGGAAACUACAUGUCUUUACUAACAGCAUAUGUAAAUAUAAGAAAAAGCACCAUGUUAAAGUGCAGCCUUACAUGUUGAGCUAAUUAGCUGGUGAGUGUUAACCUUCAUCAUUUUCAAAAACAUUACUGUAUUCAAAUAGUAUCAAUUUUUAAAACAAGAAACAAUUCUGCUUAUAUUAAUUAGAAUUCAAUAUAUAAUGUGAAGCAAACCGAUGUAUUGUUUAUAAAGUUUAAAAUUCUGAUUUGCCUUUCAGUUAACUUCAUGUGAUAGUGUUUUGUCUGUCAAGCAUUUCCGAACACCUUGACGCCAUUGGAACCCUUUGUCCUUUGGCAAAUUUACCUGUUGUGGUAAAUUCUGGCCAGUUCUCAUGCUAGCUAGGAGGCAGUGUGCCAUGCUCAAAAUGAAUUGAGCCACUGAAAAAACUCCACUGAGAAGCCUUAUUCUUUUUCUGAGCCCAGCCUCAAAAUCAGAGUAACAAAAAUACUGCCAGGCAUUCCGCUAUCUCCACAGAGGAAAUUCUGGAUAAAUAUGUCAUGCAAUUAAUUUAACAGUUUUUCAAGUUCAAAUCAAUUGACAGGGAAAUUCUGGAGAGAUUCUUGUUUCCCUGUUCCUAUUUCUGUAAUUUUAUUAGCAUAUUGUGACAGUAAAAGCCAUUACUAAUAAUAAAUUAGGCCUUAAUUGUAAAUGAUAUUCUAGUGAAAUUUAGAAACAAAGUGUGUCUGGUCUCAACAUUUUCAUGUGCCUAUCAGCAUUUAUACAGACAAAAAUCAGUAUUAAGUUGUAACUCAGCAAUAGGCUUGAAAAUCAUCUAUACCAUUAUUAUUAUUAUUUUGUUGUCUCUCAUAGGGACAUCAGACAGCUGGUUUCAAAGAUAAUGGCAGUAACAAUUAUUUGCAUCAUAGCCCUAGCUAACUAGAUAGCCGAAAACAUCUGUUAUGAUCUUCAAUUCCUCUAACCUGUCCCUGGAGAGGCUUUGAUUGCUUAAAAUAUCCCCCGGUUUUUUUUUUUUUUCAUUGCUCUCUGCAAUAAUCAUUUUUGCAAAAUAUAGAUUACUUGAUACUUAAGGAAAUUGACUGUAAUGCUGCUUUUGUCUUUUUGAAUGUAAAACUGGAGGAAGGGAACAUUAAGGAAAACUUCUCAGAAAAUUAUCUUUCCAGACUUGGAAUUUUACUGUCAUGGCUUUAUUGCAUUGUCCUUUUAAACUAUGGUCAUUGUUUUCUCUGGUAUAUUAAACUCACAAAAAAUAAAGUUACUAGUAUUUUGAACUAACACAUCAGACAUUCACCAGACUAUUGUCAUUAUGAUACAUUGACACAUACAGACAAAGCUAUUUAAAAACUUUUUGGCACUCUAACCAAAUAAUUAAAUCAGAGGUAUUUGUGACACUACCAUGUGUGAGCAGUAGACCAGACUCUGGGCUGUUCAGUGCACACAAAAGUUGUAAGUCACAUGGUCUGUUCAGCACUGAUUUCAAUCUUGUAGAAGAGCUUAAAUCAUUAACAAGUGAGGCAAAAUACAAAUCCUAAACUAUAGAAUAAGUACAGUAGUGCUCAGCAGAAAGAAACCACUGUGUACAAAGGAGGUUGGAAACAGAUGAGUUUAAUCCUCAGUGGUCAGCACACUCAGAACAGCAGCAAAUCAGUCUGGGUCACCAGAGUGAGGCACUCGAUGAAUAUGUGUUGUCUGCACAAACAAAUGAAUGCAUAAGUAAAUUAAUGAAAUAGGGAAACCUUUGAGAGGAAAUGGAAUCUGAUAUGGUUUUGGAGAAUGGAUGCAAUUUUUAUAGUGUGAGAGUAUGAAAAAGGGAGAGGAAUAGUAUGGCCAAUGUUUUAUAUGAUGAUGAGGGUGGGGAUAGAAUGAAGGGUAGGUGAUGAGGUGGGACAGGGACAUCUUUGAUGGUGGGGGGGAAAGAGAUAGUAAAGAGAAAAUAUUUGUUCAGUUAUAAGGCUCAUAUAAGACAUAAUGAGAAAAAUAUUUAUGCUAGCGUGAGAGCACAUUAUAGAAGUCUAUAAUGAUGGAUUGAAGAAGUUAAUUUUAACUCAUUUUUUAAAUUUCUUCAGUAGGAAAAAAAAACCGUGAGGAACAGUGAGUAAAACAUGAAGAGAUUGGAAUUAAUAUGAACAACUUGGUCAGUUAGAUUGGCCACAUGUCAUUCACUGAAGCACCAGGUCAGCUACUUGGAUGUUAUCGGUAGGUUAUCUAGUUUACACAUGUCCAUAUCCAUGUGACAAUGGUUUGUAGCAAUUUUUAAUAAUGUGAGUUUGUUCAACACAAAGUUAACUAAGUACUUCUGUAAGCAAAGCUUAAAUGUGGACAGAAAUAUCUUAAUAAGCUAUUGGUCCUGCCUGUUGUUCUUAUAUACAUCUAUAUAUUUGGAAUGAUUUCUUAUAUAAAAGCAUCUUCACUGGCUUUUAAUAUACUAGAUUCUUAUUUCACUUUUAAAAUAAUCUCCAUUUAUGUGAGGAAAAGUAGAUUCAGUGCGGGAUAUUGAUAGCAUUCACUUAAUAGAUAUAUUUAGAGAAGAAAAAUUGGUAGUAUUCAAAAAGUCAAUAAAGUUAUUUGCUGUUUUUCUUUUUUCCAGUAGAAUCUUUUAGAUUCUUUCAUUCAAUGCUAUUCAAUCUAGAAAGGCUUUUUACAGUGCAUGUUAUUUAAACUUCUAAAAAUGAUUUAUUAUAAUUUAUACAUAGGAACAUAUAUAUGAAGACAUCUAAUACAUAAUUAUAUGCAUAUGUAAUACAUACAUAAUGAAACAUUUAUGUCUUCUGUCCUAACGAAAAAUGUAAAAUAUUUUAUCAUAUGACAAUUUAAUCUCUUGAUCAUCUUCUCUAUUUUAAGACCCUAUAUUUCCUCAUGUAAUUUACUCUUCCAUUACCAAAUUCUGAAGCACAGUUCCGAGAUCAGAACAAGGUCAAGAGCAAGGCAUGAGGGCAGAAAACAAUCUCUUUUGGUUUCUGUUAAGUUUCUCAGGAUCCACCUAAGAGUGAAACAUAUGAACAUUGGAUUAGGCUGGCAUGAACUGUUGUAUCUAUUGCGGCAACCACCUAAAUGACAUCAACAUUGCCAAUAGGGUUCACUGCCUAAAACAAAGAUCUAAUCAUGCCUCUACAGAAUGAAUCAAGAGCCUUAGAUGAACACUUGGAAUGUUUCCUCUCGUGGAAUUAAUCAUUUCAAUUCUUUGUUCCCAGAACAAUUUUGGGUCCCACUAUUCUAACAGAGAGAGAGCACAAGAAGGGGAGGGGCAUUGAGAGAGAGACACACACAGAAUCUGAUGCAGUCUCCAGGCUCUGAGCUGUCAGAUGUGGGGCUCGAACCCACGAACUGUGAGUUCAUGACCUGAGCCGAAGUUGGAUGCUUAACUGAUUGAGCCACCCAGGCACCAUUGUUCUUCACUGUUUUAAAGUAAGUUUUGAUUCUGUCACAUACUGAGAGCAAGUAUCUAAAUUAUUCAAUGUCUUCAUUUCUUCAGAUAAAAUUCACUACUAUAAAUUUUAAUACUGAUAAUAUAUUAAAAAUUAAAAUAGCCUCAUUACAGUUUGCCCCCUUGUUUGUGGAGGACAGUAUUUAGAAGGAAAAACAAUUUAUUUUGUUUCACUAAUAAAAUAAGUCAAUUUAUUUAAUGUAGACAAGGUGUUUGUUUAAGCUGUAUGAAUUGAAUUAUUUAGUAUUCAACUAGUUGUCCUUGAACCACAGAACUUUUCUCUAUUACUAUACUGUAUUUUAGAGUAGAUUCUGCAUAUUUGUAUCUACUCAUGGAUAUAUUAUCUACAAUUAAUCAUUUUAAUAAUUUAUUUUUAAGUAUAUGCUUUUAUCUCAAAGAUCACCUAAAAAACACAUGAUGUAGAAAAUGUAUAAGUGAUUAAUAUAACUAAAUCUCCUCUCCCACAAAAACACCAAAGAUAAUUCUGCUUUGUAGCUUCAUUCUUGGAGCCUACUGUGAACAAUGGACUAAUAAUAGAUAGUUUAUACUAAAGAAAGCUUGGAAUCUAUACCAGAAAGGGCAAAGAAUACUAGUGGAAGAAAAACUAAUAGAGAAGGAUGAUAAGAGUGGGUGGAGGGGGAAAUACAAGUGUCAUCAUAAACUCAUUUGGUAAAAAAAUAGGGCAAGGUUUGAAUUAUAAACUGACAGAGAUCAGGGAAGUCUUCAUAACUUAUGAGGAGCUGUGGAUCAAUUUAUGCUGAGGGUAACUUAUCAAGAGUUUUGUUGUAUGUUAAUUAUAACAUCUACUUUUAAGUGUCUUUGCAAUGUGGCAAAGAUUCUUAAUCGGGAAGAUUAUUCACUCAGUUUAGUCUGAGUAAACUAUUCCCAUUAAAAUAUGCAUAUAGUUGUAGCUGUCUUUAAAGGUGCAUUAUUAACUGCCGGUUGGACUGAUUGGACCCCCAAAAUUAACCAGCCAGAGCCUGGCAAUGCUCUGAUAUCACAAGCGUCACACACACAGAGUUGCUGAUCUCCUUUAGUGAUAAGGAACUGGUUAUAUGACUGUACAUGUGAAUGUGAUACUUUAUAGAGAGCAAAUGGAAAAGUGAAUGUAAUAAUUAGUUACUUAAAAUAAAAAUAAGUAAACUAAUAAUUGCUAGAAAUGGCAGAGAAUUACAUCACAAGAGAGGGUGAUUAAAAAAAAUAUGCCUAUUUUCUGCUUUUAACAUUGACAUUACUUGGACUAGAGCUCCCACUUCCAAAAACAAACAGACAAAAAUGACGGAAGCUCAUUUAACACCUACAGAUGACUACCAAGGGAAGUUCUUUAUAUCCCUAAUUCUCUCUCAGAUGACUUGGGAGUCAUCUUCUAGUUCAAAUUAAGUAAAAAAUAUUGUUUGGAAUCUGUUGCAGGCAAGGUAGUUUGUAUGAUAGUUGCCUUUUUAUCUGUGCCAAAGUACUAAAGUUAUAUAUAAUUAUGGAAGAACAUUUGUUGGAAUAUAUUGAACCAAAAAAAUCAUACUUAUUUUUCCAAAAUCCUAUUCAAAGUUUCAAGCAAAUCAGAACACUUAGAGACACUUAGUAAUAUAUUACGCUUGAGUGAUAAAGCAGCCCAAAAAUGUAGCUGCAGAGAAAAACCGGAGGAAAAGAAACCUCUUAUUUUCGACUACGUUGAGCAAAAUGUCCUUUUUAACCUUCUUAAUGGCACCCUCCCCUGUUUUAAAUGGAGUCAUUCUGAGUACCUGAGUUUCAUGUUUUAUAGUUUUAUAAUUUGUAACGUCUGGCAAAGAUCAAGGAUUCUCACUUUCCACCUCACAGAUGUCCUUGCAAACUGGAACAAGAUUUAAAUGGUUUACAUACAUAUAUUACUUCAUUAGUGCCUAAUUAAAAAUACGUCUGACAGCUGGCAGACAAUGAGGUGCUUCAGAUAAUCCAAGUGAACUGAUCAAGGAUGGAAAAUUGUGCUUGUACCACUUAAGUGAAUGCAUGGCAUUCAUUUAUCAUUUUUAGGAAUGAGUUUUUUUCCCCACAGACUUUAUACACUUUGUACACAUGUUGUUACUGACACAUCUAUGCUGUAUUUAGAUGAAAUGCCAUAUUUUGUGGAAUUAUAUGGAUUAUUUUUCCAUUAGAAGUUCUCAGGAAAAAAAAGAGAAAAAGUAAAUGACAGGUCUUUGUAAACAAGUCAUGAAUUUGAUCCUGAUUGCCCAAUAGCUAAUAUUAGCCACGUGUACAUGGGUUUCUCUUCUAUAUUUGUUAAGGUUUAGCUGCUAAGACUGGAAGACCCAGGAAAGAGUUGAUAUUUCAGCUAAUGUCUGUAGGCAGUUGGGAGGCAAUUCCAUCUCACUCAGAAGACCUCAGUCUUUUCUCUUAACCUAACUGAUUAGGUUAGCCCCACCCCCAUUAUGUAGGGUAAUCUGAUUUAUUCAAAAUCUGACUUACAUGUUAAUCACAUCUAAAAAAAAAUACUUUCACAUGAAUAUCUAUACUGAUAUUUGAUCCAAAAUAUAGGCUUAACCAUGUUGAUGCAUAAAGUUAAUCAUCACAGACUCAUAGAGGUAGAUAAACAUAAAAAAUUUGAAGGCAAUCUGAAUAAAUAAAGUAGGUAGGGAAUGUUAUUGGGGGGGGGAAGUAGAUUUGACUAGAAAAGAUACUAAUAGUAUAGAAGGAAUAUUAGUAAUGAUAACAGCAGUGAUUUGGAAGGCAAAAAAAAUUUAAAUCAUAGUUAGAAAGUUAAUGCAGUGCUGUUCUAGCAGUCCACCAUCUUACCCCACUUUUUGCUCUAUAAACCUUAAUCCAGGAAUGUCUGGAACUCCAGGGAAAAUCACUUGCUGGUAAAAUUCCACCUACUGCAUUUUUUUCUUGGAAUGUAGAUAAAAAUGCAAAUACUAUAAUUGGCACAGAAAAAAAAAAUCCUUCAGUGGUGGAGAAACCCCAGUAAUAAUUAGAAGAUAGAGCUCUGGUUUAUUAGAGCCAUGAACCAGCAAUAAAUUUGAGGAUGGAAACUUGAUCAAUGGUGUUGAUGCUGUUUUCUGGCUCUGUCACUGGGAAGCAGUGUCUGAAACACUUAUAUAGCUGGUUAAAAUCCAGCUGGAUCACAAACUGUUCUUUGAGAAGCAAAUUGCUAAGUUAAAAUACAUAUGAAUUAGUAUCUAUUCCUUUAUACUCAUUGAUAAUUAAAACAUUGAAGUAUAUUAAAAUAUAUGAACCAAAUCUUCAAUUACAUAAUGUUGCUAGCCAGUGGCCCACUAGCACCGCUCAGACAAUCUGGUAAGUGUCCUGUUCAUCUUUUCCCAACUCCACAUUUAGAAAUGGCAUGUUGGCAACCUGACAUUUGUACCACAGAAAGUGGCAAAGGCCACAAAUCAGGAGUAUUUGCCUCAAAGAUUGUUCAAUAUUUAUGUCACUACAUUCAAGUAUAAGUUUAUUGUUUACAAUAGAAGUAUUUAUAGAUAACAAUUUACCAUUACACAAUAUAUUUUUUACAAUUUCUUUAUCACUCAAGUAAAUUUCCAUCAAAUAGGUUCUAACAAAAUCUAGGCAGAAAAAGUUAGAUAAAUCACUCUGUCAUCCAUUAUAUAUUAAUUUGUCUCUCAUUUGUCCAUGGUUCCAAAACUCCUUGGAAUUCCCUGACUGAUAGGAGUGUCUUUGUCAUUUAUGAUGGUCCUUUAGACUGCACCUAAGUUUAUGUUAAACUUAAAGAGAAUAGGAACUGGCCUUGCCAGAAAGAGCAAGUAUAUGAUUAGAAGAUUGGGGUUUUCAAACAUGUGAUAUCAGCAUGACCAUCAGGGAAGAGACAUGGGGUUGGAGAUGAGUUCAAUCACAUAGUCAGUGAUUCAGUCAUUCAUACCUAUGUAAUGAAACCACAAUAAAAACUCUAGACUCAGGGUUUGGGUGAGCUUCCCUGUUUAACAAUACUCUGUGCAUAUUGCUACAAGAUAUGCCAGGAGGAUGAUGCAUCCUGACUCCACAGGAGAGAAUAUGGAAGAGUCAAGUUUAGGACCCUCCCACACCUCAGCUUGUCUAUCUCUUCUCUUGGCUGAUCUGGAUUUGUAUCCUUUUUUGCUACAAUAAAACUUUAAUCAUAGGUAUAAUGCUUGCUUGAGUGCUGUGUGUCAUUCUAGCAAAUUAUCAAACCUGAGGGGAAUAAUAGGAAACUCUAGAUUGAUAGGCUGUUGAUCAGAAGUGAGUGGCCUGGGAAUCCCAAAGCUUGCAGCUGGUGUCUGAAGUGAGGGCAGUCUUUUAGGAUCUGUGCUCUUAACUUGUAAAGUUUGGCCUAAAUCCAGGUAAUUAGUAUUGCACAUUAUAGACCUAAAAAUGAAGAAUCUAUAAGAAAUACAGUAUUAAGUGCAAAUAAAUGCACUAUAUUUUAUUACUUUUUUUUCACAUUUCCUAUAAAGGAUUAUUUGAUUCAACCUAUAAUACUCCUGUUUUUCUUUUAUCAAUUGUUUGCAUACACUGAUUUCAAUAACAAAGCAUAUAAGAACGGAUCAGAUAGACAUUGGAUGCAACAUAUAAUCAUCAAAAUCACUCCAUUUCUUACUAAUGAUCACCUUUGAGGUUAUUAUAUCAAAGAGGAAGAAAAAUCUAUUUUGUUCAUUAUGAAUGUGCAAAUAGAUUAUUCAGAAACUAGAAGAUGGAAAAAAGCAGAGACUACAGGAUAAAAUUCUACUUAUCUCUUAUUUUUAUUUUCUCUCUUUCUCACUCCUCUAUUUUGAAUUUUUGUCCCUUCUGUAUUUUCUAUUAUUUCCUUUCUUGAAUUGGAGCCACAAGUCUUCAAGAAACACACUACAUUAAUCACUAGAAAUAAUUUUCUGUUAAUGAAAAUAAUUAUUAAAUUAAACUUGAAAAUAUUUUUUUCCAGAAAAAGAGGUGAAAUAGCAAUGGGUAGCUUUUAAGGAU
Long non-coding RNA from Felis catus (domestic cat), 9234 nucleotides. RefSeq lists it as uncharacterized. The transcript is spliced from 6 exons. The record is from RefSeq and is a predicted model, not a curated record. NCBI's taxonomy places the organism in Eukaryota, Metazoa, Chordata, Mammalia, Carnivora, Felidae.